CGAUAACCUCAUCAUCCCGAUGCGGAUCUGGUCGGUAACGAUAGACUGAGUCGCUAAUGCCAACUACGCGGCAGGCCAUUCGCAAACUGACCUGAUAGUGUUUGCGAGCGUAAUCGACAAGCUCGCGCUUAACCGCUGGCCCU
RNAcentral lists this small RNA (143 nucleotides) under Salinivibrio sp. KP-1. RNAcentral describes it as "isrN Hfq binding RNA". It matches the Rfam family "isrN Hfq binding RNA". The record is from Rfam by way of RNAcentral. Lineage: Bacteria; Pseudomonadati; Pseudomonadota; Gammaproteobacteria; Vibrionales; Vibrionaceae.